CCUACGGGAGGCAGCAGUGGGGAAUAUUGCACAAUGAGGGAAACCCUGAUGCAGCGACGCCGCGUGAGUGAAGAAGUAUUUCUGUACGUAAAGCUCUAUCAGCAGGGAAGAAAAUGACGGUACCUGACUAAGAAGCCCCGGCUAACUACGUGCCAGCAGCCGCGGUAAUACGUAGGGGGCAAGCGUUAGCCGGAUUUACUGGGUGGAAAGGGAGCGUAGACGGCAGCGCAAGUCUGGAGUGAAAUCCCAUGGCUUAACCAUGGACCUGCUUUGGAAACUGUGCAGCUAGAGUGCAGGAGAGGUAAGCGGAAUUCCGAGUGUAGCGGUGAAAUGCGUAGAUAUUAGGAGGAACACCAGUGGCGAAGGCGGCUUACUGGAUUGUAACUGACGUUGAGGCUCGAAAGCGUGGGGAGCAAACAGGAUUAGAUACCCGUGUAGUC
RNAcentral lists this ribosomal RNA (440 nucleotides) under uncultured bacterium. RNAcentral describes it as "partial 16S ribosomal RNA". It matches the Rfam family "Bacterial small subunit ribosomal RNA", at positions 338 to 795 of the family's 1533-position model. The record is from RNAcentral.